GAUGAAGAACGUAGCGAAAUGCGAUAAGUAAUGUGAAUUGCAGAAUUCAGUGAAUCAUCGAAUCUUUGAACGCACAUUGCGCCAGCCAGUAUUCUGGCGGGCAUGCCUGUUCGAGCGUCAUUUCAACCAUCAAGCCCCAGGCUUGUGUUGGAGCCCUGCGGCUGCCGCAGCCUCCCAAAACCAGUGGCGGGCUCGCUAUCACACCGAGUGCAGUAGUUUACUCUUCGCUCAGGGCGUGUGGCGGGUGCUAGCCGUAAAACCCCCAACUUCUCAAGGUUGACCUCGGAUCAGGUAGGAAUACCCGCUGAACUUAAGCAUAUCAAUAAGCGGAGGA
RNAcentral lists this unclassified non-coding RNA (334 nucleotides) under soil metagenome. Its description in RNAcentral is "partial contains 5.8S ribosomal RNA, internal transcribed spacer 2, and large subunit ribosomal RNA". The stretch from base 1 to 120 matches the Rfam family "5.8S ribosomal RNA", at positions 35 to 154 of the family's 154-position model. The record is from RNAcentral.